RNAcentral lists this long non-coding RNA (1462 nucleotides) under Marmota monax (woodchuck). Lineage: Eukaryota; Metazoa; Chordata; Mammalia; Rodentia; Sciuridae. The record is from RNAcentral.
UUAACCCAGAGGCACUUUACCACUGAGCUACAUCCCAGCCCCUACUCUCCAGCCCCUUUAAAUUUUAUAAUCGAGACAGGGUCUCAGUAAGUUGCUAAAACCCCCCUCAAACUUGUGAUUCUCCUGCCUCAGUCUCCUAAAUUGCUGGGAUUAUAGGUGUGCAUCACUAUGCCUGGCAAUCACCUUAGGUAUUAAAUAUAUAUAAACUUUUCCUUGUUUACACUUUUCUCCUUAAUUCUCACUAAUUUCACUUUGUUUGCACUGAACAUAAACCCUGAAGUCCCUGAUUUACUCAUUUCAGAGUUAUAAAAUAAGCUAAUAAAAAUUUCAUCUAUAUGAAUUCCUUUUACACAUUUACAAACAUAAUUGUUGCUUGACUUGAUUAAGAGAACAGUGAGCUAGACAUGAGGAAUGCAAAAAAGAGUAUUUUCCAUGGGACUUACACAUUAAAAAACAGUUAUAUUUAAAAUAACAUCACAAAUAAUUUCUACAUCAGAAUUUUUUUCUUACAUUUUCAACAAUGAAGUUUCCUUGCUGUGUUGGAAUGUAUUAAAAUAGUUUUAUAAUUUUUUUGUACUAAGAAUUGAACCCAGGGGCACUUAAACAUUGAGUCCUUUUUAUUUUUUAUUUUGAGAUAGUCUUGCUAAGUUGCUUAGGGCCUCACCUAGUUGCUGAGCCUGGCUUUGAACUUAUGAUCCUUCUGCCUCAGCUUCCAGAGCCACUGGGAUUACAGGCACGAGCCACAUACCCAGCCUAGUUUUAUGAUUAAAAACAGUUUAUGUUGUUUUACUAGCAUGUGGCUAUCUCAGUUGUUUUGGGGAAAUAUCCUUAAUUAAUAUGAAUCAUUCUUAAUUAAAACAAAUAAUUUUCCAGUAAUGUAUACAUCAUAAAUAUGAGAUGUUUUUCCUUCCAAAUUAAUCUUUACAAAUAUACAUUUCAAAUCCACAUACACCAACUGGAAGAAGCAAGAAAAUUCAGACUGUGCUUCUAGUUUAUGCGUUUUUCUUUCUACAUUCUGCUUAAGUCUUGCUUUAUUAUCCAAAUUCUGAAAAUGAAGCCUUAUGAGCCUGUAGCCAGAACUAUGAGCCUUUUUUGUGUGUGCAUUCUAAAAUAAUUGUCAUUUUCAUCUGCUAAUAAGAGAUAGUGCCUACAGUGUAUGUACACCUUCCCACAUGUGUCGCCAGUUAGGGGUACUGACCUCCUGGGCCUUGGAUGAACACUGUGACCUCAGUCAACCUCCCUUGAGCUAUUUCCUUAACUGUGAAUUGAUAGGAUUAGAUUAAUACAUCUCCAUAGCCCCUUAAACUCCAAAUACUCCCAGGGAUCUUUGAAAAAUCCUAGGGAAAAAACUGGAGCAAGACCUGAGUUAUUAAAUACCAUCUCAUCUGCUGUGCACUUACAAACGCUGUUCUUUAUAGCAGUGAAGGUCAGAGUAUCUUAAAUCAAUAUUUAAUGAGAUGGC